GAAAUAUAAGCCUACUCCUAAG
RNAcentral lists this non-coding RNA (22 nucleotides) under Rattus norvegicus (Norway rat). The record is from RNAcentral. Lineage: Eukaryota; Metazoa; Chordata; Mammalia; Rodentia; Muridae.